GCAAUGAUGUGUAAAAAAUGUUAAAAAAAUAAAUAUAAUGGAAGAAAUUAAUUUAAAUUUAAAAAAAAGUUUUUAAAAAUGAUUUCAAUAAUUACGAAACGUCAUAAAGAUAUGUGGAACUGUUGUAAAGUUUAGUAAAUCGUAAUGAAACGAAGCUAAAUGAUGUCUUUGUUUUUGUCGAUGAUAUCUUGUGCAAGGAGCUCGAUUGCGGCGAAGGAGAGCACUAAUCCUUUCCAAAAAAUUUUCAUAUUGUGGCGGCUUAUCAAUAAGUUGCUUGUCUUUAAAAGUGGAAAGUGGUCGGGAUUUACCCGUGCUUAACAACAACCUAUAUCAUCUGUAUGACCUAAGGCUAAAAGCCAUAACAACCAUAUGUAUGGUUGAAUAAUAACAAUGUAAUCCUUUGGAAACAAAAGAGAUAAUGCUAAUAACAAAAUUUUCUGCGAAUAAUUAAGUAAUAAAUUGUAUAAAAUUGUUGGAUCCAGAGGUGUUAAGUUCAAAUUGCUUCAAUGCAUCUUAACUGCAAUCUUCACAAAUUUUAAUGAGUUUUUGGAAAAAGCAAAAUAUUUUCCUCUACGCUGUCAACUAUUCAUAAAUUCUUGCUGGCAUGAAGUUACUUAUACAACAACUAUUUUAUUUACUGCAUCCUAAAUCAAAAGUGGUACAUAAUUUUGUUAGGUUGUAAAAUGUGCAGUACUUAUAACGUUCAACCCAAGUUUAUCUUACAAAGGCAGUACGGAUGACCAGAUCUCUAAAGGCAAUAGCGGAGUCGAUUAAGUCAUGUCCAUCUGUCUGCCUG
This is a long non-coding RNA of Lucilia cuprina (Australian sheep blowfly), 796 nucleotides long. RefSeq lists it as uncharacterized. NCBI's taxonomy places the organism in Eukaryota, Metazoa, Arthropoda, Insecta, Diptera, Calliphoridae. The transcript has 3 exons. The record is from RefSeq and is a predicted model, not a curated record.